This 253-nucleotide ribosomal RNA is filed under the name uncultured bacterium. RNAcentral describes it as "partial 16S ribosomal RNA". It matches the Rfam family "Bacterial small subunit ribosomal RNA", at positions 524 to 776 of the family's 1533-position model. The record is from RNAcentral.
UACGUAGGUGGCAAGCGUUGUCCGGAUUUACUGGGCGUAAAGAGCGCGCAGGCGGUCUUGCAAGUCGCGUGUGAAAGCCCCCGGCUCAACUGGGGAGGGUCACGCGAUACUGCUCGACUCGAAGGCAGGAGAGGGAAGUGGAAUUCCCGGUGUAGUGGUGAAAUGCGUAGAUAUCAGGAGGAACACCGAUGGCGAAGGCAGGUCUCUGGGCCACUACUGACGCUGAGAAGCGAAAGCAUGGGGAGCGAACAGG